AACGAACGCUGGCGGCAGGCUUAACACAUGCAAGUCGAACGCCCCGCAAGGGGCGUGGCCGACGGGUGAGUAACGCGUGGGAACAUACCCUUUUCUACGGAAUAGCUCUGGGAAACUGGAAUUAAUACCGUAUACGCCCUACGGGGGAAAGAUUUAUCGGGGAAGGAUUGGCCCGCGUUGGAUUAGCUAGUUGGUGGGGUAAAGGCCUACCAAGGCGACGAUCCAUAGCUGGUCUGAGAGGAUGAUCAGCCACAUUGGGACUGAGACACGGCCCAAACUCCUACGGGAGGCAGCAGUGGGGAAUAUUGGACAAUGGGCGCAAGCCUGAUCCAGCCAUGCCGCGUGAGUGAUGAAGGCCUUAGGGUUGUAAAGCUCUUUCACCGAUGAAGAUAAUGACGGUAGUCGGAGAAGAAGCCCCGGCUAACUUCGUG
This 431-nucleotide ribosomal RNA is filed under the name uncultured bacterium. RNAcentral's name for it is "partial 16S ribosomal RNA". It matches the Rfam family "Bacterial small subunit ribosomal RNA", at positions 29 to 507 of the family's 1533-position model. The record is from RNAcentral.